This 68-nucleotide small RNA is filed under the name Enterobacter cloacae. Its description in RNAcentral is "isrK". The record is from RNAcentral. RNAcentral also lists the same sequence under 1 other name. Lineage: Bacteria; Pseudomonadati; Pseudomonadota; Gammaproteobacteria; Enterobacterales; Enterobacteriaceae.
GCGCCUGCAAAAUCAGGCGUCGGGAUUGACCUCCUGGUAUAAGUUACAGGCGACAUGGUUUACUAUGU